GUGAAUCAUCAAAUUUUUGAACGCAAAUUGCACUCUCCGGUUUUCCGGGAGAGUAGGCCUUUUUGAGGGUGGGCCUAAAAAAAAUCGACAUGGUGGCUGUUUUAUGGUGACUUUCGUCGGGGAUGGGUUAUCUUAAAUCUAGGUUUAAGCGACUUAAAAAUUUUUUUUACUGUUCUAAGAAUGUUUCUAAGAUUUUUCCUGUACGUUUAAGGUAUCAAAUGUCUUAUUAAGCUUUGACGUCAUAGU
Molecule: unclassified non-coding RNA, 246 nt
Filed under: Glomus sp.
Lineage: Eukaryota; Fungi; Glomeromycota; Glomeromycetes; Glomerales; Glomeraceae
Description: partial contains 5.8S ribosomal RNA and internal transcribed spacer 2
Rfam family: 5.8S ribosomal RNA (bases 1-72)
Source: RNAcentral